RNAcentral lists this transfer RNA (77 nucleotides) under Candidatus Pelagibacter sp. Its description in RNAcentral is "tRNA-Asp". It matches the Rfam family "tRNA". From Rfam's summary of the family: Transfer RNA (tRNA) molecules are approximately 80 nucleotides in length. RNAcentral also lists the same sequence under 1 other name. The record is from RNAcentral. Lineage: Bacteria; Pseudomonadati; Pseudomonadota; Alphaproteobacteria; Candidatus Pelagibacterales; Candidatus Pelagibacteraceae.
GGGGGUGUAGCUCAGUUGGUUAGAGCGCCUGCCUGUCACGCAGGAGGUCGCGGGUUCGAGCCCCGUCACUCCCGCCA